Molecule: non-coding RNA, 89 nt
Organism: Bos taurus (domestic cattle)
Lineage: Eukaryota; Metazoa; Chordata; Mammalia; Artiodactyla; Bovidae
Source: Rfam
ACUUGUUCCGCUGUAGCAGCACGUAAAUAUUGGCGUAGUAAAAUAAAUAUUAAACACCAAUAUUAUUGUGCUGCUUUAGCGUGACAGGG